Molecule: ribosomal RNA, 464 nt
Filed under: uncultured bacterium
Lineage: Bacteria
Description: bacterial SSU rRNA
Rfam family: Bacterial small subunit ribosomal RNA
Source: RNAcentral
GGAUCGUAAGGCUCUGUUGUAAGAGAAAAACGGCACUCAUAGGGAAUGAUGAGUGAGUGAUGGUAUCUUACCAGAAAGUCACGGCUAACUACGUGCCAGCAGCCGCGGUAAUACGUAGGUGGCGAGCGUUAUCCGGAAUGAUUGGGCGUAAAGGGUGCGUAGGUGGCAGAUCAAGUCUGGAGUAAAAGGUAUGGGCUCAACCCGUACUUGCUCUGGAAACUGAUCAGCUAGAGAACAGAAGAGGACGGCGGAACUCCAUGUGUAGCGGUAAAAUGCGUAGAUAUAUGGAAGAACACCGGUGGCGAAGGCGGCCGUCUGGUCUGGAUCUGACACUGAAGCACGAAAGCGUGGGGAGCAAAUAGGAUUAGAUACCCUAGUAGUCCACGCCGUAAACGAUGAGAACUAGGUGUUGGGGAAUAACUCAGUGCCGCAGUUAACGCAAUAAGUUCUCCGCCUGGGGAGUA